RNAcentral lists this unclassified non-coding RNA (602 nucleotides) under Hevea brasiliensis (rubber tree). Lineage: Eukaryota; Viridiplantae; Streptophyta; Magnoliopsida; Malpighiales; Euphorbiaceae. The record is from RNAcentral.
AAAAUUGAGUACAUAAAACCAGUGAUUAUCACAAUCAUCCCUACGUUUGAUUCUUACAGCAAAUUUAUAGUACCAGCACAAAUCCUGAGAUUUGGUAGACAAGAAAUUGAAUUCCAAACAUGAAGGCGGAUUACAGUGGAAGAAAUUGAAGAGGGACUAUGAACCAAUAUACAUGUGCACUCCAACAGCUAACAAGAAGAUACAAAUCAGAGAAAAAUAAAGGAUAGAGUGAACCAGUAUGGAAACUCCACUCGUCUGAAAGUUUCCGAACUCGAUGAAUCGGUGACGACCUGGGAUCUGAAUCAGCAAACCUGGAGUUAAAAUUAUAAAUAGCACCACUGCAACGAACACUGGUCCCCAAUCCGACAUCGUUUGUCUCUUGCAGAUCUGCUAGCUGCGCCUGUAUGAACUCUGAAUUCUCUCUUGUGAUCACUCUCGAUGAGAGAAAUCAAGCGAAAAUGGGAUUGUGACAAAAGAGAUUAUGAAGGUGAAGUAUUGCAGAGAGAAGAGACAAAAAAUGAUGAGUAGGAAAAGCGAAGGUUAGAGGAUGAAGCUAUUCCCAUUCGGAUUAACUUUUUCAUCUCAGAGCACUUGCACAUGCA